This 220-nucleotide long non-coding RNA is filed under the name Elaeis guineensis (African oil palm). Its description in RNAcentral is "long non-coding RNA (EGUI_LNC014341)". The record is from RNAcentral. Lineage: Eukaryota; Viridiplantae; Streptophyta; Magnoliopsida; Arecales; Arecaceae.
GAGCCUGUCCCGUUGUAAAAACUCGUCUGUGAUCCAUCCACUGUAGGAACUCGACUGGGAUCCGGCUAUGUAGGAGCUCGGGUGAAGCCCACUUGCAAUAGAAGUUCGGAGUAGAGAUCCGACUGGUGGAGCUCUUCCAUUGUAGAAGUUCGUCCGAAAUCCAUCCACUAUGGAAGUUCAGACGAAGUCCGAUUCUUGUAAAAGUCCGGAUGGGGACCGC